GAGGAAUAAACUACAGGGGCGAAAGCUUGGAUUUAGAAACAAGAACUUGUUGAUUUGGGUGAGAAUUGAGAAAGUUAGGGGAUUUUUGGUGUGGGUGAGUUUGAGAGAGUAUGAGUGUUUAUGAGAGGAGGAGAGGGUGAGGAAGAUGAAAUCGUGGGUGUUGGGUAGGUUUAGGGGCGUCCGGUUUGGUUUAGGUAGAUUGGGGAUUGGUUUAUUUUAAUUAAACCGG
RNAcentral lists this long non-coding RNA (229 nucleotides) under Brassica napus (rape). RNAcentral describes it as "long non-coding RNA (BNAP_LNC015648)". The record is from RNAcentral. Lineage: Eukaryota; Viridiplantae; Streptophyta; Magnoliopsida; Brassicales; Brassicaceae.